UACGUAGGGGGCAAGCGUUGUCCGGAAUCAUUGGGCGUAAAGCGCGUGUAGGCGGCCAGGUAAGUCCGUUCUGAAAGCCCGGGGCUCAACCCCGGGAGGCGGAUGGAUACUGCUUGGCUCGAGUCCGGAAGAGGCGAGUGGAAUUCCCGGUGUAGCGGUGAAAUGCGCAGAUAUCGGGAAGAACACCCGUGGCGAAGGCGGUUCUCUGGGACGGUACUGACGCUGAGACGCGAAAGCGUGGGGAGCGAACAGG
This 253-nucleotide ribosomal RNA is filed under the name uncultured bacterium. Its description in RNAcentral is "partial 16S ribosomal RNA". It matches the Rfam family "Bacterial small subunit ribosomal RNA", at positions 524 to 776 of the family's 1533-position model. The record is from RNAcentral.